GACGAACGCUGGCGGCGUGCUUAACACAUGCAAGUCGAGCGGUAAGACCUUUCGGGGUACACGCGCGGCGAACGGGUGAGUAACACGGGGGUGAUUUGCUCUGCACCUCGGGAUACGCCUGUGACACUGGGUAUAAUACCGGAUAUGACCUCCUUUCGCUUAGCGGGUGGUUGCAAGAUUUAGCGGUGCAGGUUGGGUCCGCGGGCUAUCAGCUUGUUGGUGGGUGAAUGGCUUACCAAGUCAACGACGGCUAGCCCACCCUAGAGGGUCACCGCGGACACGGGGACUGAGAGAGGGACCAGACUCCAACGUGAGGCAGCGGUGGGGAGUUUGACACAGUGGGCGAGAGCGUGAUGCAGCGACGCCGGGUGAGGGAUGACGGCCUACGGGUUAUAAACCUCUGUCAGCAGGGACGAAGCGGAAGUGACGGUACCUGCAGAAGAAGCCCCGGCUAACUACGUG
This 462-nucleotide ribosomal RNA is filed under the name uncultured bacterium. RNAcentral's name for it is "partial 16S ribosomal RNA". It matches the Rfam family "Bacterial small subunit ribosomal RNA", at positions 28 to 507 of the family's 1533-position model. The record is from RNAcentral.